GAUGAACGCUGGCGGCGUGCCUAACACAUGCAAGUCGAACGAACGGACGAGUAGCUUGUUUCUCUGAUGUUAGCGGCUUGCGGGUGAGUAACACGUGGAUAACUUACCUAUAAGUCUGGGAUCACUUCGGGAAAGCGGAGCUAAUACCGGAGGAUAUAUUGAACCGUAUGGUUCAAAAGUGAAAGACGGUCUUGCUGUCACUUAUAGAUGGAUACGCGCUGCAUUAGCUAGUUGGUAAGGUAACGGCUUACCAAGGCAACGAUGCAUAGCCGACAUGACAGGGUGAUCGGCCACCCGAGAAGUGAGACAGGGCCCAGACUCCUACGGGAGGCCGCAGUAGGGAAUCUUCCGCAAUGGGCGAGAGCCUGACGGAGCAACACCGCGUGAGUGAUGAAGGUGUGCGGAUCGUAAAGCUCUGUUGUUAGGGAAGAACAUAUGUGUAAGUAACUGUGCACAUCUUGACGGUACCUGAUCAGGAAGCCACGGCUAACUACGUG
Molecule: ribosomal RNA, 497 nt
Filed under: uncultured bacterium
Lineage: Bacteria
Description: partial 16S ribosomal RNA
Rfam family: Bacterial small subunit ribosomal RNA
Source: RNAcentral